Molecule: ribosomal RNA, 303 nt
Filed under: Triticum aestivum (bread wheat)
Lineage: Eukaryota; Viridiplantae; Streptophyta; Magnoliopsida; Poales; Poaceae
Description: partial small subunit ribosomal RNA
Source: RNAcentral
AUGUUGUUUUGUCUUUGGAGCCACAAGCGCUUUAGGGUUCACACUAACCACUGCCACUUACUUACAGUGGACUUGUUAAAUCAAUCACGCACAGUAUAUAUCAUUCAUGCCCACAGAUGCUCAAUCGAAUUAAUUCAUCAGUGCCUGGUCAAAAUGAUCUCUACUAGUCUACUUGAAGAUCUGCAGCAACAGCUUUGCACAAGUAGUGAUGGCAGUUCAGAGUUCAGACAUGCUGCUCACACAAGCUGGUGCUCACGCGCGCGGCGAAGAACGGAUCAAAAGGCACCGAAUCUCGUGGUGUAA